This 738-nucleotide ribosomal RNA is filed under the name uncultured bacterium. RNAcentral describes it as "bacterial SSU rRNA". It matches the Rfam family "Bacterial small subunit ribosomal RNA", at positions 94 to 818 of the family's 1533-position model. The record is from RNAcentral.
AGUGGCGAACGGGUGAGUAACACGUAGGGAACCUGCCCGUGCACCGGGAAUACGCUCUGGAAACGGAGAACAAAUCCCGACGUACAGGAAGGAGGCAUCUUCUUUCUGUGAAACAUCCUUUAGGGGAUGGGGCGCGGAUGGACCUGCGGUGCAUUAGUUGGUUGGCGGGGUAAAGGCCCACCAAGACGAUGAUGCAUAGCCGGCCUGAGAGGGCGGACGGCCACAUUGGGACUGAGACACGGCCCAGACUCCUGCGGGAGGCAGCAGUAGGGAAUUUUCGUCAAUGGGCGCAAGCCUGAACGAGCGAUGCCGCGUGAGUGAAGAAGGCCUUCGGGUCGUAAAGCUCUGUUGCGGGGGAAAAAAGGCAGCAUCAGGAAAUGGGUGCUGACUGAUGGUGCCCCGCCAGAAAGUCACGGCUAACUACGUGCCAGCAGCCGCGGUAAUACGUAGGUGGCGAGCGUUAUCCGGAAUGAUUGGGCGUAAAGGGUGCGCAGGCGGUCCUGCAAGUCUGGAGUGAAACGCAUGAGCUCAACUCAUGCAUGGCUUUGGAAACUGGAGGACUGGAGAGCAGGAGAGGGCGGUGGAACUCCAUGUGUAGCGGUAAAAUGCGUAGAUAUAUGGAAGAACACCAGUGGCGAAGGCGGCCGCCUGGCCUGUUGCUGACGCUGAGGCACGAAAGCGUGGGGAGCAAAUAGGAUUAGAUACCCUAGUAGUCCACGCCGUAAACGAUGAGGACCA